RNAcentral lists this transfer RNA (72 nucleotides) under Candidatus Portiera aleyrodidarum (primary endosymbiont of Bemisia tabaci). RNAcentral's name for it is "tRNA-Lys (TTT) (tRNA-Lys-TTT-1-1)". It matches the Rfam family "tRNA". From Rfam's summary of the family: Transfer RNA (tRNA) molecules are approximately 80 nucleotides in length. Their secondary structure includes four short double-helical elements and three loops (D, anti-codon, and T loops). Further hydrogen bonds mediate the characteristic L-shaped molecular structure. tRNAs have two regions of fundamental functional importance: the anti-codon, which is responsible for specific mRNA codon recognition, and the 3' end, to which the tRNAs corresponding amino acid is attached (by aminoacyl-tRNA synthetases). tRNAs cope with the degeneracy of the genetic code in two manners: having more than one tRNA (with a specific anti-codon) for a particular amino acid; and 'wobble' base-pairing, i.e. permitting non-standard base-pairing at the 3rd anti-codon position. The record is from RNAcentral. RNAcentral also lists the same sequence under 1 other name. Lineage: Bacteria; Pseudomonadati; Pseudomonadota; Gammaproteobacteria; Johnevansiales (SeqCode); Johnevansiaceae (SeqCode).
GGGUCGUUAGCUCAGAGGUAGAGCAGUUGGCUUUUAACCAAUUGGUCGUAGGUUCGAAUCCUACACGACCCA